ACAAAUAUUGCUUAUUAGCACACAACCCCAAAUCUUAACAUGCUUGAGAUUUGUCUUUCUUUCCAACUACAUCCUAUGGAGUCAUGAGAAUUUUGGAAGAUCUUCUAAUUGACAAUCAUAUUGUUUUUAGAAGUAUAUAUCCUAUAUAUGGGUAAUAGAUAACAUCCAACGAACUAAAUCUUAUUUAAGUUCGUUCUUCUCCUUAUGUAGAAAUCUAUUAUCUUAUGAUGCUAUUUUCCUUGAUAUCUUUCAAGGAAACUCAUCUAAAGUGUUACUUUUCCUUGGAUCAAAUCUAAGGAGGUAAAUACUUUAGAUGUCUUACUCAUCAACUUACAUUUCUUGAAUUCUUUGAACAUUUUACAAAGUAUUCGGACUUGUGUUUAUUCAAAACAAACUAUAGUCCAACCGAGAGUAAUCUUCGGUGAAUGUCAUCCAACAUGAGUAGUAUUAUGUUGUGGACAAGUGCCACUAACAUCUAAGUGAAUUAACCUCAACAACUUUGUGAUUCUUUCUUCUUUCCAAAAGAAUAAAGAUUCGAACAUUUCGCCUCUAUACAAUUUUAACAAGAAGGUAUUGGAUCCGGAUCUAACGAUCCAAAGCACCCAUCUAUGACCAACUCGUAAUUUAUGAUUUAGAGGUAUCACAAUUUAGUUGGGAUUAGUCACUACCUUGCAACAUUUUGGGUGUUAAGCAUCAUUUUAUUCUAAACAGUUAACACCACCAUAUUAUCUCUACUAUAGAGACAAUCAAUUAGAUUACCAUGAUCCAAUCAUUGAUUAAUAAAGAACAAUGUUUUGUCAACCAAAACAUUCAUCCAUCUUUACUAUAGUGACGGAAUUAAAUUCCUUAAAAUUGGAAUGUAAAGACAAUCUUUGGUUUUUCC
Molecule: long non-coding RNA, 883 nt
Filed under: Malus domestica (apple)
Lineage: Eukaryota; Viridiplantae; Streptophyta; Magnoliopsida; Rosales; Rosaceae
Description: long non-coding RNA (MDOM_LNC004369)
Source: RNAcentral